RNAcentral lists this long non-coding RNA (777 nucleotides) under Volvox carteri. Its description in RNAcentral is "long non-coding RNA (VCAR_LNC003162)". The record is from RNAcentral. Lineage: Eukaryota; Viridiplantae; Chlorophyta; Chlorophyceae; Chlamydomonadales; Volvocaceae.
GCAUCCCUUGUCUGUUCUGUGCAUUUCCUUGUUGGCGUUGCCUUAUGUACGUCAUUGUACAAUUUUGCAGGGCGUUACGUCUUGUUCGUUAGUUGGUUGUAAAGCGCUGUUGUCUGUUGUGGUUUUUCAAGGUUGUGCCGCAUGCAACGUGCUUGUGCAGUCUUAUUUUGUUUGCAUCAUAAAGCAGAUCAUGGCCGGGCAGCAGAUCAGCAGCUGAUAGGCAAAACAGCAGAUCAGCAAACAUCUAGGAAAGACAGCAAACUAGACCAGCUUACCGGAUUUUAGCAGCACGUGUGCCGUGGUGUGGUGUAUUGUGCUGCAUGACAAUGUAACUAUUUUGUAAGUGUCAAUUUGUAAAAUUAUGUGCUGCAUAAUUUAUAUUUGCAUCCUGAAUCAAUUAAUAAUAUUUUCUCAUGAAUAUUUCCUUGAAGCAUUUAUAUCUAAAUGUUUUGUCAAGUAAAUGUAUUGUUUAUUAUUGAUUGUUUUUACGUAAUAUAUAUUAAACUAAAUUUGUGUUUAACGUGUUGUCGUUACGUGAUGCUCCCGACGUCGGCGUGUCGUCCCCAGCGGGAUCAUUGUAGGGCGCUUUGUUGGGGCUGUGCCGGGCAACAUGAGAAUCGUAGCACAUCAGGGCGUAACCUUUCGAUGCACUCACCUCGCUGAACGCAUCUAAUUCCCGUUCUGCUCCUUGCUGCUACACAACUUGCCUGCCCACAUGCACCACAUGCACAACUUGCCGUGGCCAUCGCUGUCGUUUUCUCGCCGACGGCGAGGUCG